UAAAUACUAUAUCCGUCCGAAAAUACUUGUCAUCAAAAUAGAUAAAAAGAAUGUAUCUAGAACUAAUAUACAUCUAGAUACAUUCCCUUUUAUUUAUUUCGAUGACAAGUAUUUUCGGACGGAGGGAGUAUAAG
This is a non-coding RNA of Triticum aestivum (bread wheat), 134 nucleotides long. The record is from Rfam. Lineage: Eukaryota; Viridiplantae; Streptophyta; Magnoliopsida; Poales; Poaceae.